This 2165-nucleotide long non-coding RNA is filed under the name Mytilus galloprovincialis (Mediterranean mussel). Lineage: Eukaryota; Metazoa; Mollusca; Bivalvia; Mytilida; Mytilidae. The record is from RNAcentral.
GUAUGAUUAAUAUGACAUUUCAAGUCAUCAACAUUUUAAAUGACUAUUUGUUUUUGCAGGUGAAGAAGCCUUACAUGAAUACAUGAAGACCAAAGCUGUAACAGUGGAGUAUGGACAGCAGUAAAACAGGUAACUUUAAUUCUCACUUUUAUAUGUGACAUACUCAGUUUAUUUUAAUUUAAUUUGAUUGGCUUUUUGUAGUUUUGAAAACUAAAUUUGAUAGCUUCUAUCCUUUAUUAAUAAGUGUGAUUUUUUUUUUACAUGUAACAUUAUCUAAUUCACUAUGUUGCUAUUCUGCCAUGUUAUGUACACUGCUGUUGUUUCUUGGGAAAUUGAUUUAAAUUGAAGCUUUUCAAAUUAAACGUAUUUAAAUUUUUUUUAAUUAAAAGCUUUUAACAAAUUUUAGAAUGUUUGUUAGUUUGAAAUUUGAUGAUAACUUUAUUUUAAUAAGAGUUUCAUGUUAACUCGCACAAGUGAUAACGGAAAGUUUGAACAAUGUUGUAAUAUUUUCUAUAUCAUAGUUUAUGUUUUCUAUUUUCAGUGACAAAAGUCUUUCAUCAUUUGGUUGAAAUAGAUAUGGCAGACGACACUGUUGUUACUAUAAAUAGAAACAGUUUUCACACCACCUAUCUCUGAGGACAAUUAUCAUUGGCUUAAUAUUUCAUAUACACUCCUUCAAAGACAGACAGAAAAACAAUAAUGUAAUCAGAUGUGUCUCAAGCUAACUUCUGGACAAUAUAUAGGGUUAACAAUCACCUGGGCAUUGUUUAUUUAUGGAGAUGUUUAUUUUUGUUCUAGUCUGGUUUACUACAGCUGAAAUACACAACAAAGUGAAAUUGAUAUUUAUCAGUAUAAUAGCUGUUAGAUGAUAUAUUUCUUAAAGCUUUCACAGAAUGGUAGAAAUAAUUUCACAAAAUUUUUGAAUUGAAAUUGCGUGUAAGCUUAUUUAUUUGAGUUGAUAGAUAUUAUGGUAUCUUAUCAGAUUAUUUAAAUUUUAGUGUUUAAUACAUGUACUUAAGUUUAGAUUUCAGUUUUAGUAUUCAUUAGUAUUUUGCAUGUAGACAAAUUAUUCAUAGCUAAAUCAUUCAAAAUAAAUCAAAAUUUUGUGAUGUGAAAUUGAAUUUAAUGUUGUUUUGACCAUUUUACAUAGAUUAAAAAUGUUCAUGUUUUUCUUCUAAUUUCAUUAUCCACAUUUACCAUAGUUGAGAUUUGGAACACACUGGAUUUCUCUUAAUCUGCAUAUCAAACCAAAAUGUCAAAUAAAAUACUUAAAGACAAAGACUCAUCACGUUUUUAAUUUUUGUUCUUCUUAUCUUUGUGUAAUAAGUUGAACAUAUGUUUUGUUAAGUGACAAAAUAGCAAAAACAAAUUAAGAAAAGGAGGAUUUUGUUUAUGUUUUUCAUCGAUGUAGUGUGUUUAACAUAUUUUUACUAUAAGAAGCAAGCUGAUUUGAUUUUGCUUACAUUUUAAGGUGUUUUGUAAUGGCAGAAGGGGCUUUAGCUUUUGAUGAAUUUGAAAAUUUAUAUAAUGGAUUUCAAUUAAUUUUUAGCUUAUGUUUAUUGGUAUCAGAUGUAAGGUCAAUGAUUUUUAUUGAUGAUUUGUUAUGUUCAGAGGCAGCUAAGUAUUUACAGAUUUUAGUUGUAUCUUUUACUUUUUGCGCAACAAAUUUUAAUAAUCCAAUUAAGAUUUCUGUUAUGAUGACAGGUUGUUUUUGUAUUCAGAAUGAAAAAAGUUCUUGAAUUGAUUGAUAUAUUUUGUUUUGAAUCAUGUUACAAAUUGUUUCAGGUUUCAGAUUUUUAGUGUAACAAAAGGUCACAUGUAACAAAAAGUUCAGCUUUUAAAAUAGUAUAUCUAAGCUGAUUCAACUAGAAAAAGUUUAUUGUUCAGUAAAUUACAAAUGAUUUUUAACUUUAGAAUCUAGAGUUUACAUAUCUAUUUGUGUAUAAUAUGUAUGUAUAUAGCUAGAAGGCUAGUAGAUGUUUGUAUUGAAUAACUACAGUUAACUCUCGUUGUCUCGAACUCGGUUGACUCGAAAUUUCGGAUGAGUCGAAGUUUUCACGUGGUCCCGAACUUUAUUCCAUACAAAAGUAUGUAAUUCGACUACUGAUGAGUCGAAAUUGGAUGAGUCGAAAUUUUGGUUGAGUCGAACUAAAUCUACGGUCCCA